RNAcentral lists this ribosomal RNA (998 nucleotides) under uncultured bacterium. Its description in RNAcentral is "bacterial SSU rRNA". It matches the Rfam family "Bacterial small subunit ribosomal RNA", at positions 358 to 1371 of the family's 1533-position model. The record is from RNAcentral.
GGAAUAUUGCACAAUGGAGGAAACUCUGAUGCAGCAACGCCGCGUGGAGGAUGACGCAUUUCGGUGUGUAAACUCCUUUUAUGAGUCAAGAAAAUGACGGUAGCUCAUGAAUAAGCACCGGCUAACUCCGUGCCAGCAGCCGCGGUAAUACGGAGGGUGCAAGCGUUAUUCGGAAUCACUGGGCGUAAAGGACGCGUAGGCGGGAAGCCAAGUCUGAUGUGAAAUCCUAUGGCUCAACCAUAGAACUGCAUUGGAAACUGGUUACCUAGAGUAUGGGAGGGGGAGAUGGAAUUAGUGGUGUAGGGGUAAAAUCCGUAGAUAUCACUAGGAAUACCGAAAGCGAAGGCGAUCUCCUGGAACAAUACUGACGCUAAGGCGUGAAAGCGUGGGGAGCAAACGGGAUUAGAUACCCCGGUAGUCCACGCCCUAAACGAUGAACACUAGUCGUCGGGAUGCUAGUCAUCUCGGUGAUGCACUUAACAGAUUAAGUGUUCCGCCUGGGGAGUACGGUCGCAAGAUUAAAACUCAAAGGAAUAGACGGGGACCCGCACAAGUGGUGGAGCAUGUGGUUUAAUUCGAAGAUACGCGAAGAACCUUACCUAGCCUUGACAUUGAUAUAACACACUAGAGAUAGAGUGGUGCCCUUCGGGGAAAUAGAAAACAGGUGCUGCACGGCUGUCGUCAGCUCGUGUCGUGAGAUGUUGGGUUAAGUCCCGCAACGAGCGCAACCCUCGUCAAUAGUUGCCAGCAGGUUAAGCUGGGCACUCUAUUGAGACUGCCUUCGCAAGGAGGAGGAAGGUGAGGACGACGUCAAGUCAUCAUGGCCCUUAUGGCUAGGGCUACACACGUGCUACAAUGGGGCGUACAGAGAGUUGCGAUACCGCGAGGUGGAGCCAAUCUCAUAAAGCGUCUCUCAGUUCGGAUUGAAGUCUGCAACUCGACUUCAUGAAGCUGGAAUCACUAGUAAUCGUAGAUCAGCAAUGCUACGGUGAAUACGU